RNAcentral lists this ribosomal RNA (575 nucleotides) under Papiliotrema laurentii. Its description in RNAcentral is "eukaryotic LSU rRNA". It matches the Rfam family "Eukaryotic large subunit ribosomal RNA", at positions 93 to 657 of the family's 3401-position model. The record is from RNAcentral. Lineage: Eukaryota; Fungi; Basidiomycota; Tremellomycetes; Tremellales; Rhynchogastremaceae.
GUGAACCGGGAAGAGCUCAAAUUUGAAAUCUGGCGUCCUCAGGGCGUCCGAGUUGUAAUCUAUAGAGGCGUUUUCCGUGCCGGACCGUGUCCAAGUUCCUUGGAACAGGAUAUCAAAGAGGGUGACAAUCCCGUACUUGACACGACGACCGGUGCUCUGUGAUACGUCUUCUACGAGUCGAGUUGUUUGGGAAUGCAGCUCAAAAUGGGUGGUGAGUUCCAUCUAAAGCUAAAUAUUGGCGAGAGACCGAUAGCGAACAAGUACCGUGAGGGAAAGAUGAAAAGCACUUUGGAAAGAGAGUUAAACAGUACGUGAAAUUGUUGAAAGGGAAACGAUUGAAGUCAGUCGUGACCGAGAGGCUCAGCCGGUUCUGCCGGUGUAUUCCCCUCGGUCGGGUCAACAUCAGUUUUGUCCGGUGGAUAAGGGCGGUAGGAAGGUGGCACCCUCGGGUGUGUUAUAGCCUGCCGUCGCAUACAUCGGGUGAGACUGAGGAACGCAGCUCGCCUUUAUGGCCGGGGUUCGCCCACGUCCGAGCUUAGGAUGUUGACAUAAUGGCUUUAAACGACCCGUCUUGA